AGAGUUUGAUCCUGGCUCAGAGCGAACGNNNNNCGGCAGGCCUAACACAUGCAAGUCGAGCGGGCACCUUCGGGUGUCAGCGGCAGACGGGUGAGUAACGCGUGGGAACGUGCCCUUUGGUUCGGAACAACUCCGGGAAACUGGAGCUAAUACCGGAUAAGCCCUUCGGGGGAAAGAUUUAUCGCCAAAGGAUCGGCCCGCGUCUGAUUAGCUAGUUGGUAGGGUAAUGGCCUACCAAGGCGACGAUCAGUAGCUGGUCUGAGAGGAUGAUCAGCCACACUGGGACUGAGACACGGCCCAGACUCCUACGGGAGGCAGCAGUGGGGAAUAUUGGACAAUGGGCGCAAGCCUGAUCCAGCCAUGCCGCGUGAGUGAUGAAGGCCUUAGGGUUGUAAAGCUCUUUCACCCACGACGAUAAUGACGGUAGUGGGAGAAGAAGCCCCGGCUAACUUCGUGCAGCAGCCGCGGUAAUACGAAGGGGGCUAGCGUUGCUCGGAAUCACUGGGCGUAAAGGGCGCGUAGGCGGCCGAUCAAGUCAGGGGUGAAAGCCUGUGGCUCAACCACAGAAUUGCCUUUGAUACUGUUCGGCUCGAGACCGGAAGAGGUUGGUGGAACUGCGAGUGUAGAGGUGAAAUUCGUAGAUAUUCGCAAGAACACCAGUGGCGAAGGCGGCCAACUGGUCCGGUUCUGNNGCUGAGGCGCGAAAGCGUGGGGAGCAAACAGGAUUAGAUACCCUAGUAGUCC
RNAcentral lists this ribosomal RNA (744 nucleotides) under uncultured bacterium. RNAcentral's name for it is "bacterial SSU rRNA". It matches the Rfam family "Bacterial small subunit ribosomal RNA", at positions 8 to 796 of the family's 1533-position model. The record is from RNAcentral.